RNAcentral lists this ribosomal RNA (301 nucleotides) under uncultured bacterium. RNAcentral's name for it is "partial 16S ribosomal RNA". It matches the Rfam family "Bacterial small subunit ribosomal RNA", at positions 509 to 807 of the family's 1533-position model. The record is from RNAcentral.
CAGCCGCCACGGUAAUACAGAGGGUGCAAGCGUUAAUCGGAAUUACUGGGCGUAAAGCGCGCGUAGGUGGUUUGUUAAGUUGGAUGUGAAAUCCCCGGGCUCAACCUGGGAACUGCAUCCAAAACUGGCAAGCUAGAGUAUGGUAGAGGGUGGUGGAAUUUCCUGUGUAGCGGUGAAAUGCGUAGAUAUAGGAAGGAACACCAGUGGCGAAGGCGACCACCUGGACUGAUACUGACACUGAGGUGCGAAAGCGUGGGGAGCAAACAGGAUUAGAUACCCCAGUAGUCCCUGUCUCUUAUAC